This is a small nucleolar RNA of Pomacea canaliculata, 67 nucleotides long. NCBI's taxonomy places the organism in Eukaryota, Metazoa, Mollusca, Gastropoda, Architaenioglossa, Ampullariidae. The record is from RefSeq and is a predicted model, not a curated record.
AAACCCAAGGAUGAAAUCUGACCGCCCCAGUCUGAGUACGAUGACUGACUGGCUAUUCUGAGGGUGG